GAGGGUAUAGCUCAAGCAGUAGAGCACAUGCUUAGUUAGCAUGCAUGAGGUCCUGGGUUCAAUUCCCAGUACCUCCU
RNAcentral lists this transfer RNA (77 nucleotides) under Camelus bactrianus (Bactrian camel). It matches the Rfam family "tRNA". Rfam says of the family: Transfer RNA (tRNA) molecules are approximately 80 nucleotides in length. Their secondary structure includes four short double-helical elements and three loops (D, anti-codon, and T loops). Lineage: Eukaryota; Metazoa; Chordata; Mammalia; Artiodactyla; Camelidae. RNAcentral also lists the same sequence under 3 other names. The record is from Rfam by way of RNAcentral.